GCCACCAUGCCUUGCCUCUCCUCGGCCCUGUCCUCCGCCUCCACCUCCCCGCCUCCAAGCGAUGACGACGCCCCGAGAUCCAUGGUGAUGGCGGCUGCAGUGGCCCGAUGGAAGCGGUGGCCAUCCCUAGCCAUUGCCGCGUGCUUCUGCUACUCACGUUGACCAUGGAUCUGCAGCAGGGGCCUCCCUCCCCCGUUUCCCAGAGCCCGCAGCAGCUGAUUCGCCAUCCGGAGAUUCGGAGCAGCAAGCGCCGAACGAGGAGAGGGCGAGGACGGUGACCUGCUGGAGGCCCGAGCGCGACCCAGUCAACGGUGACGAUGCCCCACACAAGAUCAGUAGGAGCUCUCUGCCUCUCCAAUUCCAUGGACGGCGACGACCGGGACCCCAUGCUCAAACCCGACGAGCUGGAACGGCGAGGUCAUGCGAGCCAACCAUCAUGAUUCGCCACAGAACAAUAAGGUCUAUCUCAUAGACACCCAGAUUUUGUAUGCAAUUUUCUCAACACCCAGAUUGGAGCCUAAGGUUGGACAUUUUGAUGGGACUGCGGAUCUUUGGAUGUUGGUGCUGAGAUUGAUGUGGCCCUAGCUACAUGUAAGCGAAGCUUAUGAUGUCGAUCCUCCAGGCUGCACUGGUAUCGUGUUACCUCACAAACUGCUGGUGGUAAUUUUGCAUCACCACUUAUUAAUUUAUUUACUAUUGUUCCUGUCAAAUGCUUCUUGUCAAAUAGUAAUUCUUCAGCUGUAUGUUGAUGUUCUCUUAUGGUUGCAAGAGAAAUUUAUCCUUGGGCAAAAUGUCCACAUUCUUAGAUAGGUCUAUUACUGUCUCUUUCAUAGCCUUUUGGUUUUAUUUUCACUAUAUAUCUUUUUUGGUCAACUGUCAAGUGUCAACAAUAUGUGGAUAUUGUUCUUUAGGGUAUGCCCAAUUUCUUAAUGCUAUAUAUAAUAGGGUAGGUUCUGGGGUUGGGUAACCUAUUUUUUGCAAAUUGGUGGUACCCAAAGGUGUUGUUCUGCCAAAUAUUGACAAGUCGAUUCAUGCCUACUUACAAGGAUGGAAAAAUAAUAUACUACUGGACACAACUGUAGAAGUAUGUAGUUGUUUGUUUUCUCAGCGCAUAACUAUCCCUUCUUCUAUAUUAAUAACUUAUCAUCAAGGAUGACUGGACAUAAGAUAAUUGAAUGAAUCUUUUGCACUGCAGUAUAUAUUGUCCCCCAGUGUUUUUGUUUUUCUUGUUUGGAUGAUAUGCACAAGUACUUGACAUUUCAUUUUUUUACCCAUAACUUGGUUGUUUUAAUUAAUACGGAUCUACAUGAAACAUGUAUGUAGUAGAUACUAUGUUAUUCUCACUUGUAGCAGUGCAAGAUUUAAGAAUUUUGGACAGCAUGAGUUAUUCAUUUUUUAUAUUUGUUUCAAUUCUCUUAUUUUUACAAUCUAUUCAUAUCUACAAAUAUCUAAUGGUGUUGUAAAUAUGCUAGGUAUGAUUGCGUACCGGGCUACUUGGUGCUGCCCCAUCACAAUUUGCACUGACAUGAUAAUUUCCAUCAAGAGGGGCGACAGCAAGAACUUGAAUAGCAACUUCAAUAGUUUAAAUGUUCUGUUUGUGUGAACUGGAUUGUACUGUUUUCUAACUUUUCCAAGUGUUGUAUUUUGUCAAUCUAUGUUGUAAACUAUCAUUUCAUGGAGGAUUUUGUAACCUGCUAUGUUAUAGAUACUUGUGGAUAACUGCAUUUUGAUUCAUAUGCGCAUGUGAGACAGUUUUCAAAUGCCUGUCUCGCCAAAAUUGGCAUUACAAUGUGUGUAUGCAUUCUGCUUAAAA
Triticum aestivum (bread wheat) is the source of this 1813-nucleotide long non-coding RNA. RefSeq lists it as uncharacterized. NCBI's taxonomy places the organism in Eukaryota, Viridiplantae, Streptophyta, Magnoliopsida, Poales, Poaceae. The transcript has 3 exons. The record is from RefSeq and is a predicted model, not a curated record.